GACGAACGCUGGCGGCGUGCCUAAUACAUGCAAGUCGAGCGGACCAAAGGGAGCUUGCCCCUGGAGGUCAGCGGCGAACGGGUGAGUAACACGUGGGCAACCUGCCUGUAAGACUGGGAUAACAUCGAGAAAUCGGUGCUAAUACCGGAUAAUAAAAGAACUGCAUGGUUCUUUUUGAAGAUGGUUUCGGCUAUCACUUACAGAUGGGCCCGCGGCGCAUUAGCUAGUUGGUGAGGUAACGGCUCACCAAGGCAACGAUGCGUAGCCGACCUGAGAGGGUGAUCGGCCACACUGGGACUGAGACACGGCCCAGACUCCUACGGGAGGCAGCAGUAGGGAAUCUUCCGUAAUGGACGAAAGUCUGACGGAGCAACGCCGCGUGAGUGAUGAAGG
RNAcentral lists this ribosomal RNA (393 nucleotides) under uncultured bacterium. RNAcentral describes it as "bacterial SSU rRNA". It matches the Rfam family "Bacterial small subunit ribosomal RNA", at positions 28 to 414 of the family's 1533-position model. The record is from RNAcentral.